GGUUAAGUGACUAAGCGUACACGGUGGAUGCCUUGGCAGUCAGAGGCGAUGAAAGACGUAGUAACUUGCGAUAAGCCCAGAUUAGGUAGUAACAACCAUUUGAGUCUGGGAUUUCUGAAUGGGGAAACCCACGUGCAUAAGCACGUAUCCUUACCUGAAUACAUAGGGUAAGGAGGCGAACCGGGGGAACUGAAACAUCUAAGUACCCCGAGGAAAAGAAAUCAACCGAGAUUCCGAAAGUAGCGGCGAGCGAAAUUGGACUAGCCCUUAAGCUUUACACGCGUUAGACGAACGGUCUGGAAAGUCCGACGAUACAGGGUGAUAGUCCCGUAGUUGACGACGUGUGUUCAGUGAAAUCGAGUAGGGCGGGACACGUGAUAUCCUGUCUGAAUAUGGGGGGACCAUCCUCCAAGGCUAAAUACUACUGACUGACCGAUAGUGAACCAGUACCGUGAGGGAAAGGCGAAAAGAACCCCUGUGAGGGGAGUGAAAUAGAACCUGAAACCGUGUACGUACAAGCAGUAGGAGCAGGCUUUGUCCUGUGACUGCGUACCUUUUGUAUAAUGGGUCAGCGACUUAUAUUCAGUGGCAAGGUUAACCAUCUAGGGGAGCCGUAGGGAAACCGAGUCUUAACUGGGCGUUCAGUCUCUGGAUAUAGACCCGAAACCAGGUGAUCUAGCCAUGGGCAGGUUGAAGGUUGAGUAACAUCAACUGGAGGACCGAACCGACUAAUGUUGAAAAAUUAGCGGAUGACUUGUGGCUAGGGGUGAAAGGCCAAUCAAACCUGGAGAUAGCUGGUUCUCCCCGAAAGCUAUUUAGGUAGCGCCUCGGACGAAUACUACUGGGGGUAGAGCACUGUUAAGGCUAGGGGGUCAUCCCGACUUACCAACCCUUUGCAAACUCCGAAUACCAGUAAGUACUAUCCGGGAGACACACGGCGGGUGCUAACGUCCGUCGUGGAGAGGGAAACAACCCAGACCGCCAGCUAAGGUCCCAAAUUACUACUAAGUGGGAAACGAUGUGGGAAGGCUCAGACAGCCAGGAUGUUGGCUUAGAAGCAGCCAUCAUUUAAAGAAAGCGUAAUAGCUCACUGGUCGAGUCGGCCUGCGCGGAAGAUGUAACGGGGCUAAGUAGUAAACCGAAGCUGCGGCAAUAUACUUUUGAGUAUUGGGUAGGGGAGCGUUCUGUAAGCGGUUGAAGGUGUGUGGUAACGCAUGCUGGACGUAUCAGAAGUGCGAAUGCUGACAUGAGUAACGAUAAAGGGGGUGAAAAACCUCCUCGCCGGAAGACCAAGGGUUCCUGUCCAACGUUAAUCGGGGCAGGGUAAGUCGACCCCUAAGGCGAGGCCGAAAGGCGUAGUCGAUGGGAAACGGGUUAAUAUUCCCGUACUUCUUACAAUUGCGAUGGGGGGACGGAGAAGGCUAGGUGGGCCUGGCGACGGUUGUCCAGGUUCAAGUGCGUAGGCUUAAGAGUUAGGUAAAUCCGGCUCUUUCUAAGGCUGAGACACGACGUCGAGCACCUACGGGUGUGAAGUCAUUGAUGCCAUGCUUCCAGGAAAAGCCUCUAAGCUUCAGAUUGUAAGGAAUCGUACCCCAAACCGACACAGGUGGUCGGGUAGAGAAUACCAAGGCGCUUGAGAGAACUCGGGUGAAGGAACUAGGCAAAAUGGUACCGUAACUUCGGGAGAAGGUACGCUCUUGAUGGUGAAGUCCCUUGCGGAUGGAGCUGACGAGAGUCGCAGAUACCAGGUGGCUGCAACUGUUUAUUAAAAACACAGCACUGUGCAAAAUCGUAAGAUGACGUAUACGGUGUGACGCCUGCCCGGUGCCGGAAGGUUAAUUGAUGGGGUUAGACUUCGGUCGAAGCUCUUGAUCGAAGCCCCGGUAAACGGCGGCCGUAACUAUAACGGUCCUAAGGUAGCGAAAUUCCUUGUCGGGUAAGUUCCGACCUGCACGAAUGGCGUAAUGAUGGCCACGCUGUCUCCACCCGAGACUCAGUGAAAUUGAAAUCGCUGUGAAGAUGCAGUGUACCCGCGGCUAGACGGAAAGACCCCGUGAACCUUUACUACAGCUUGGCACUGAACAUUGACCCUACAUGUGUAGGAUAGGUGGGAGGCUUUGAAGCACGUACGCCAGUAUGUGUGGAGCCGUCCUUGAAAUACCACCCUUGUAGUGUUGAUGUUCUAACGUCGACCCCUAAUCGGGGUUGCGGACAGUGCCUGGUGGGUAGUUUGACUGGGGCGGUCUCCUCCCAAAGAGUAACGGAGGAGCACGAAGGUGGGCUAAUCACGGUUGGACAUCGUGAGGUUAGUGCAAUGGCAUAAGCCCGCUUGACUGCGAGAAUGACAAUUCGAGCAGGUGCGAAAGCAGGUCAUAGUGAUCCGGUGGUUCUGAAUGGAAGGGCCAUCGCUCAACGGAUAAAAGGUACUCCGGGGAUAACAGGCUGAUACCGCCCAAGAGUUCAUAUCGACGGCGGUGUUUGGCACCUCGAUGUCGGCUCAUCACAUCCUGGGGCUGAAGUCGGUCCCAAGGGUAUGGCUGUUCGCCAUUUAAAGUGGUACGCGAGCUGGGUUUAGAACGUCGUGAGACAGUUCGGUCCCUAUCUGCCGUGGGCGUUGGAAGAUUGAAGGGGGCUGCUCCUAGUACGAGAGGACCGGAGUGGACGAACCUCUGGUGUUCGGGUUGUGUCGCCAGACGCAUUGCCCGGUAGCUAAGUUCGGAAUCGAUAACCGCUGAAAGCAUCUAAGCGGGAAGCGAGCCCUGAGAUGAGUCUUCCCUGAUACUUUAAGUAUCCUAAAGGGUUGUCGGAGACUACGACGUUGAUAGGUCAGGUGUGUAAGUGCUGUGAGGCAUUGAGCUAACUGAUACUAAUUGCCCGUGAGGCUUAACCAU
Molecule: ribosomal RNA, 2891 nt
Filed under: Vibrio parahaemolyticus
Lineage: Bacteria; Pseudomonadati; Pseudomonadota; Gammaproteobacteria; Vibrionales; Vibrionaceae
Description: 23S ribosomal RNA
Rfam family: Bacterial large subunit ribosomal RNA
Source: RNAcentral